GAUCCUGGCUCAGGAUGAACGCUAGCUACAGGCUUAACACAUGCAAGUCGAGGGGCAGCAUCAUCAAAGCUUGCUUUGAUGGAUGGCGACCGGCGAACGGGUGAGUAACACGUAUCCAACCUGCCGACAACACUGGGAUAGCCUUUCGAAAGAAAGAUUAAUACCGGAUGGCAUAAUUAUUCCGCAUGGGAUGAUUAUUAAAGAAUUUCGGUUGUCGAUGGGGAUGCGUUCCAUUAGG
RNAcentral lists this ribosomal RNA (238 nucleotides) under uncultured bacterium. RNAcentral describes it as "partial 16S ribosomal RNA". It matches the Rfam family "Bacterial small subunit ribosomal RNA", at positions 15 to 245 of the family's 1533-position model. The record is from RNAcentral.